GCCUUCGUGGUGUAGUGGUCAGCACACUGAGCCGGUAUUUCAGAGGUCCUUGGUUCGAUCCCCGGCGAAGGCA
Molecule: transfer RNA, 73 nt
Filed under: Stegodyphus mimosarum
Lineage: Eukaryota; Metazoa; Arthropoda; Arachnida; Araneae; Eresidae
Rfam family: tRNA
About the family: Transfer RNA (tRNA) molecules are approximately 80 nucleotides in length. Their secondary structure includes four short double-helical elements and three loops (D, anti-codon, and T loops).
Source: Rfam by way of RNAcentral